Hyaena hyaena (striped hyena) is the source of this 1329-nucleotide long non-coding RNA. RefSeq lists it as uncharacterized. Lineage: Eukaryota; Metazoa; Chordata; Mammalia; Carnivora; Hyaenidae. The transcript has 2 exons. The record is from RefSeq and is a predicted model, not a curated record.
CUAUGACUCAAAGAAGGAUCAAAACCCAGCAGAGUGCAAGCAGCAGUGAAGCAGGAUGUAUGUGGCCUUGAGGAUAACCUGCACUGGUCUACCUUCUGCUUCCCUGGAAAGGAUGAAUUUACAUCAUUUGACAAGCCUAUUUCAAGUUUUUUUGUUGUUACUGUUUGCUUGUUUUUGUUUUUGCAGCCUAAAAUAAAAUGUCAUAUAAUUUUAGUUCUCACAAGAUAAUGUCUUAAUUUUGUACUAAUUCAGGUAGAAGCAGAGGCCUAGCUUGAAUUAAUCAUUGUACCCAGUUUACCAUAUUAUGGAAGAAGAGAGUGUCAACUUUGGGAGAGGUACUACAUCUGCUAAUAUAAGAAGAUAGAAAAGAAAAAAUCUUAAAUGAUGUAUUUUUUUCUUAAAAAAAGAUUAAACGGUUAAAAUUUUAUUUCCUUUGGUUAGAACUAGAGAGAAGGCCCCACGCUCUAUAGUUAAUUCCAGUUCUUAUUGCUUAAAGUAUGUCAUUUUCCCAUGCUUCUGUUUACUGUAUAUUACAAUGGGUAGUACUGUUUACCUAACUACCUCACAGAUAUGUUAAGGCAUGUUAAGUUAAAUUUUAUGAAAUGUUUCUCGAUCUCAUUAAAAGCUCCAAAAUUUGAACCUGUUUGUACCACAAGUAUAAUAUUCAGCAUUUUAUUCAUACCAGGGUUUGAUAGUUCAACUGGAAAACAAAGGUUUAAGUACCUCUGUUCUGGAUCUGGUCAGGCAACACUCUUGCAGAUCUUUGUGUGGCUCCUGUCUAGUAAGUGGAUGGAUGAGCAGCUCUUUCACAAGGUCCAAGGAUUGCUUUUAGGUAUUUUAGUUUAUGACCAUAUUGUAGUAAAAUACUGCAGAGAUCAUGGGACUGAAGUAGAAAGAAGACCGUAUUUAGGGGGGAAAUGCCAUUAAAUUUGAGACUCAUAGAGCCACAUUUAAAAUACCUCAGGCUAAUUACUGUUAAUUUUUUUGUGAUGAGCUUAAAAGCUUUGACAGUGAGGGUGGAUUAAAUGGAUUCUAACUAGAGGCUGGCCUAGAGUUCCUGCUCUUCAUAAAACUGUAUUGUUUCUAGAGGUGAUAGAGCUUCCUUUUUGAAAAUCUAGUAUUAAGAUCUUGGAAUGUGAACACAUUUUGUUAUUUGUAUACUACUUUUCAUUCCUCUCCUGAGAUUUUAAUUAACUACUGGAAAUCCUUAACCAGUUGCAAUGGUUUGUAGGAAAAAAAUGCCAUGAAAACACCCUGUUUUUCCUCCUUAUUUUCAGAAUGCUUUUGGUUGCUUUAAUUAGACAUUCUUUGCUGAUUUUUUUUUUUUUU